UAGGGAAUCUUCGGCAAUGGGGGCAACCCUGACCGAGCAACGCCGCGUGGGUGAAGAAGGUUUUCGGAUCGUAAAGCCCUGUUGUAAGAGAAGAACGAGUGUGAGAGUGGAAAGUUCACACUGUGACGGUAACUUACCAGAAAGGGACGGCUAACUACGUGCCAGCAGCCGCGGUAAUACGUAGGUCCCGAGCGUUAUCCGGAUUUAUUGGGCGUAAAGCGAGCGCAGGCGGUUAGAUAAGUCUGAAGUUAAAGGCUGUGGCUUAACCAUAGUACGCUUUGGAAACUGUUUAACUUGAGUGCAGAAGGGGAGAGUGGAAUUCCAUGUGUAGCGGUGAAAUGCGUAGAUAUAUGGAGGAACACCGGUGGCGAAAGCGGCUCUCUGGUCUGUAACUGACGCUGAGGCUCGAAAGCGUGGGGAGCAAACAGGAUUAGAUACCCUGGUAGUCCACGCCGUAAACGAUGAGUGCUAGGUGUUGGGUCCUUUCCGGGACUCAGUGCCGCAGCUAACGCAUUAAGCACUCCGCCUGGGGAGUACGACCGCGAGGUUG
This 550-nucleotide ribosomal RNA is filed under the name uncultured bacterium. RNAcentral describes it as "bacterial SSU rRNA". It matches the Rfam family "Bacterial small subunit ribosomal RNA", at positions 355 to 896 of the family's 1533-position model. The record is from RNAcentral.